This 343-nucleotide unclassified non-coding RNA is filed under the name uncultured fungus. RNAcentral describes it as "sequence contains ITS1". The stretch from base 1 to 108 matches the Rfam family "5.8S ribosomal RNA", at positions 50 to 154 of the family's 154-position model. The record is from RNAcentral. Lineage: Eukaryota; Fungi.
GAAAUGCGAUAAGUAGUGUGAAUUGCAGAAUUCAGUGAAUCAUCGAAUCUUUGAACGCACAUUGCGCUCUCUCGGAUUUAUCCAGGGAGCAUGCCUGUUUGACAACAUGCACAAUUGGUACAUAGCAGUAGCCUUUGAUGGUGUUGAUAGCUAAACCAACUUCUGGGAGUUUUCUUUGAGUGUUCAUUCAAAGUCUCUUGAAAUCAGUCAUGUGAGUCUACUUAUGAUCAAGCUCUGAUGUAAUAGAAUAUGUUCCAUCGGAGUGGCAUGAGCGGACCCUUUUUGCAGAAAGAUAAUCUUGCAAGUUGUUGUCAAAUCAGGUAGGAUUACCCGCUGAACUUAA